UACGUAGGUGGCGAGCGUUGUCCGGAAUUAUUGGGCGUAAAGAGCGCGUAGGUGGCUUGUCAGGUCUGAUGUGAAAACUUGGGGCUCAACCCCAAGCCUGCAUCGGAAACCGGCUUGCUAGAGUCUGGGAGAGGAGAGUGGAAUUCCUGGUGUAGCGGUGAAAUGCGUAGAUAUCAGGAGGAACACCGGUAGCGAAGGCGGCUCUCUGGAACAGUACUGACACUGAGGCGCGAAAGCUAGGGGAGCGAACAGG
This 253-nucleotide ribosomal RNA is filed under the name uncultured bacterium. RNAcentral's name for it is "partial 16S ribosomal RNA". It matches the Rfam family "Bacterial small subunit ribosomal RNA", at positions 524 to 776 of the family's 1533-position model. The record is from RNAcentral.